AACGAACGCUGGCGGCAUGCCUAACACAUGCAAGUCGAACGAGACCUUCGGGUCUAGUGGCGCACGGGUGCGUCACGCGUGGGAACCUGCCCUCAGGGUCGGACUAACUCCCCGACAGGGGUGCUAACACCGGAUCAUGUCUUCGGCCCAAGGAUUUAUUGCGUUUGGUGGGUCCCGCGUUGGAUUAGCUAGUUAGUAGGCUAAAAGCCUACCAAGGCGACCAUUCAUAGCUGGUUUGAGAGAAUGGUCAGCCACACUGGGAGUGAGACACGGCCCAGACUCUUACGGGAGGCGGCAGUGGGGGAUAGUGGACAAUGGGCGAAAGCAUGAUCCAGCAAGGCCGCGUAAGUGAUGAAGGCCUGAAAGUUGUAAAGCUCAUUUACCCGGGAUGAUAAUGACAGUACCGAGAGAAUAAGCUCCGGCUAACUCCGUG
Molecule: ribosomal RNA, 433 nt
Filed under: uncultured bacterium
Lineage: Bacteria
Description: partial 16S ribosomal RNA
Rfam family: Bacterial small subunit ribosomal RNA
Source: RNAcentral